UAUCGAUAAUACGAACGCAACACAAGUUGUCCCAUCAAAAAAUUCCACCCACAGCUCCUCUAAUUUGCAAAAUCAAUCUGCAAUCGCUGUUGCACUAUCGGAGGAGCAACUUGCCCGGGUUCAUCAAAUAAUCGACUUGGAGAAAUCUGGUUUGAUUCGAGUUAAACGAAAAAUUGGGGAUGAUUCCUCAUUGGAAGGGUUACAAUAUACUCAAAUUUCAACUGAUUCUAACCAGAGAAACUCGAGAAAUCCAAUGGCGACUGAAGGCAGAAGUGCGACUGUGUCGCCUGAAAAUCGAUCUCAAAUUCGACCAAGUUCCGGCGACCUUCGAGUGGCGCUCAACACAGGGGUUUGUUCCCCACAUCAAAGCGCCCCUCCUCACCAAUUUUCAGACCAAAUGGCCAGAGGAUUAGUGGAGGAGCAAGUCGCCGGAGAAGACGCCGGAGCUCCGGCAACUUUUUCAGGCGAAGAACAAUACCAUCCUGGGAGCUUCAAUGUCCUUAGCAAUCCCCACCAGGUAAGAGCUCUCGAAUCUUCACACACCAAUUCGAAUUUGAAAAAAAAUAGCUACUGGUUCGAAAGCUGAUGAACAAUCGAAGGAACAAAUUCAAGCCUCCCAUUUUGAUAAUUCAAUAAGUUUUGGAUUAAUUGGUGUGGAAAAUAUGAUUCCUCAUCUCCCAAACAUCAGAGAAGACAUUCAAUCUUCUCCAAUUAGCACAAAUAUGCCUAUUCAACAGAGUUACUGUUCCAGUGGUCGCGCCGGAGCUCCGGCGACUCAAUCAGUGCAACACCAAUGCCAAAAUAUUCCUAAGAGUGUUCCGGAGCUUCCCAGCCAAGGUAAUGUCUCAAAUCAUCACCUAUAAGCUCAAAUUCAAAAAGUCGCCAAGACAUCCUCCAAGGUGAUGUGCACUGUUUCACUGGUUUUGGAGCUGAGGAUUCUAUAUUGGUUCAUGACCAAUAUCAGCAACAUGAUAAUUUCAAUCAGCUCAAUGAAGAUAUACACAUAUUUGAUAAUGCAAAAUUGAAGAAUCUUUGUUCCAAGACUGAUACAAAGGCCUUAGGAAUUGCACACCAAUGUAACAGUGCUGAUGCUGCAGCACUCCAAGCCGAGGAUCUUUCGGAAAUAGCCUCCUUACCUUUCAAGGUGGGGGUUAGGUCUGCGUACACUCUACCCUCCCCAGACCCACAUUGUGGGAUUAUACUGGGUUUGUUGUUAUUGGUACACAAGAUCAAACCAAUAUCCAAGAUGCAGGAGAACCAAUCAACCAAAGGAAUUCAAUAUUGAUGAAUUCAUCAAAAAUAUAGGAAAACACCAAACUUCAAAAACAAGGUAUUGACUUAGCUCUCCCAAAGUCCCAUCCCCCCAUAUUGAAUGCAUAGGUACUGCUUUAGCAGGUACUAAUCAAGGGAGCAAUGCAGCAAGUAAUGCAGGUAUUGACUCAUUACUCCCCAUACCCCUGAAACCCCCAGAUUAUAUUUCUACUGCUGCUGAUUAUGUAGUUAAUGGAGGUAUGGUUGGAGGAGUUCUGGAGAAUCCCACUAAUCUGCAGGAUGGGGAACCCAAAAGGGGGGGAUUUUACCUCAUGUUUUGCAUGAGAACAUCACUGACCCUAGGAGUGACCUUAGAGCUCCUGCUACCCCUGCACACAAGGUCCAAACAGACACUCCAACUCCUGAAUCCAUAAGAAGAGAUGUCCCUACUGAUGACUCUACCAUACAAAACAUCAUAGGCUCUAUGGCCAAAGAUUUGGGCUCCAUUGCAAGUACUACUACUAAAAAGAACAACUUGAGCAAGAAAAGGAGAGAGGCCAUAAAAAAGUAAAUUGCAGAAAAAAACUCUGCUGAGAAAUGCCAAACUCCUAUAACUGACAGUGUAGUACUGCACCAAAGUGAGCAGGGAUGUCAACAAUUUGUACUUGAUGAGGAUCAGGUGGGUAUGGAUAUCACUCCUCUUCAAGCUCAAUGCAUCCUCACACAUCCCACCCUCAACACCACCAUACAGGAUCUUACUGAUGAAUAUGCUGUGUGUGAGUCAGAAAAUGAAGAGGACAAUGGUUAUAAGCCAUUGCAAGAUCAGAAUGAAGAUGAUAUUGCAAGUGAAUAGUUAAUCAAAACCUUCAACCCCUCUUCUGAUAAUGUAUAUGAGGAAGAGAUUCAACAGGUGGCUAGUUCAUAGGGCCUAUCCCCCAGAAGGAUACACAGGACCAGCUUUAGCACCAGGGCAAAAAGCUCUAUUAUAUCUGCCCCCAUAGGCAAACCAAGAACCAAGCUCCACAUUUCCAAAGACUCUCAAUGAUUAGUAUCCUCAGCUGGAAUGUGAGGGGUAUUAAUACCCAAGGAGCCAUGGAAAGGAUCAAGCAGCUAAAAAACCUGCAUCAAAUCUCCCUUAUUGCCCUAUUGGAGCCCUUUUCUGAUAAUUCUCAACUGCAACAUUUCAGAAAUCAGCUUAAUAUGGACUAUGCCAUCCAUAAUCUAAAUGGUAAGAUUUGGAUUUUUUGGAACAAAGAUGUGGACUGCAGGAUUUUGGAAAAUGAUGAGCAAUUGAUCACAUGUGUGGUUAAUCAUGUUAUGAUCCCAAAUCAGUUCAUCACUACCUUUGUCUAUGCAAAAUGCAAGGACCAACUCAGAAGGCCUCUCUGGGACAGCCUACUACAGCAGUCAACCACUCCCCUCCCUUGGUUCACCUUAAGGGACUUCAAUGUUAUAACAGACCCUGAAGAAAAGCUUGGAGGGUUCCUUAUAAAAUGAGAAAGAGUCUUGAUUUUAUCAGCAUUGUAGAAGCUUGUGGUUUGCAGGAUCUUGGCUUCUCUAGGCAGAAAUACACAUGGUCCAACCUAAGAGGUAUUAUGUUCAGAGUUUAGAAGAGAUUGGAUAGAGGGAUGGUUAAUGAUAAGUGGCUGGAAACCAUGCCUCACACUAGCAUCACUCAUCUCCCUUCUGAGGGCUCAGAUCAUUGCCCCUUGCUCUUGGAAAUGGUGGAUCAUCAUCAUAAUCUCAUCAAGUACUUCAGAUUUUUGAAUUGCUGGCCAGACCAACCCUCAUUCAUGGACACUGUCAAGGAGUGUUGGAGCAGAUCAGUAGCAGGCAAUCCAAUGUGGAGCUUUCACCAAAAAAUGAAGAGACUAGCUUCCACUCUUAGCAGGUGGUCCAGAAAUCAGUUUGGAGACAUUUAUGCUAGAGUUAAAGAAUAUGAGGAGGAAGUUAGACAAGCAAGCUGAAGAGAACCUGAACAAUAUCCACAUGAAAACAGGUCUAAGCUUCAUGCCAUCAAUGCUGAAUACAUUAAAUACCUGAAAAUGGAAGAUGCAAUUCUCAGGCAGAAAACUCAGUUGCACUGGUUCAAAGAAGGAGAUGUGAACUCUAGCUAUUUUCAUGCCUUAAUCAGAGGUAGGAGAAGGAAGCUAUACAUUCACAGGAUCCAAACUGAAGAAGGUUCUUGGGUUGCAAGGAGAUACUGAAAUAGCUGAAGCAGCUUGCAAGCACUUCCAAGACAUAUUCACUGGGAAGGACAAGUAUAUUCAGCAACAGGCUCUACAGUGCAUCCCCUCAAUGGUUACUGACAAGCACAAUAAGGAUCUCCAAGCCAUGCCUACUAUGGAUGAAUUAAGAAAUGUAGUAUUCACAAUGAAUCCAAACUCAGCAGCAGGUCCAGAUGGGAUGAAUGGAAAAUAUUUUCAAGUGUGCUGGGAUAUCAUCAAAGAAGAUCUUCUUAGUGUGGUCAAUUCCUUUUUCUGUGGACAAGCCAUGCCUAAGUACUUCACCCAUAUUUGUUUGGUUCUACUUCCAAAAGUAAACCAUCCUACCAAAAUCUCUAAAUUCAGACCCAUAAGUCUGAGUAACUUCACCGACAAAGUCAUCUCCAAACUCCUUUGUUUAAGGCUGGCUCCAAUUCUUCCUAACCUCAUCUCCCUUAAUCAAUCUGGCUUUGUCAAGAAUAGAAGCAUCUCUGAGAAUAUUAUGCUUGCACAGGAAAUCAUACACCAGAUCAAAAAUCCAAAUGUAGGAGGCAAUGUUGUGAUCAAACUUGACAUGGCUAAAGCUUAUGAUAGGGUCUCUUGGUCCUACACUUGUCUGGUCUUGAGAAGAAUGGGAUUUGGUGAAAGAUUCAUUGACAUAACUUGGAGAAUUAUGGCAGACAAUUGGUACUCUGUCAUAGUUAAUGAUUCAAGACAUGGUUUCUUUCAUUCAACAAGGGAUCUCAAGCAAGGAGACCCCCUUUCCCCUGCCUUAUUCAUCCUUGGAGCUGAGGUGCUCUCCAAACAACCUACACCAUCAUCCUCAGUUUCAUGGCUUCUAUAUGACAAAUCAUGGUCCUCAGAUUAACCAUCUCAGAUUUGCAGAUGAUAUCAUCAUCUUCUCUUCAGGAAGAAAGCAGACUUUGACACUUAUCACGGAGACUCUAGAUGCUUAUGAAAAAGUCUCUGGACAGUUGAUCAACAAGCAUAAGAGUCACUUCAUGAUCCCCUCCAAUGCAUUCAAGCCUACUGUGGUGAGAAUCAAGAAAAUUACAGGCUUCAACCAAAAAGAUAGCCCCAUAACUUACUUGAGAUGUCCUAUCUAUAUUGGCAGACAGAGUAAUUUAUUAUUCUGAUUUUAUUGCAAAGGUGGUUAACAGGAUCACUGGAUGGCAUGCAAAAAUCCUUAGCUAUGGGGGAAGAGCUGUAUUAAUCAAGCAUGUUAUCCAAGCCAUGCCAAUACACCUGCUAUCAGCUAGUACUCCACCUUCAACCACCAUCAAGCAGAUACAAAGCAUAACAACCAACUUUUUCUGGGGAUGGAAAAAUGAUAAAAGGAAGUAUCACUGGUCCUCAUGGAAGAAUCUGAUCUUUCCUUAUGAUGAAGGAGGCAUAGGAGUAAGGCAAAUUACAGAUGUGGCUAAGUCCUUUCAAUACAAACAGUGGUGGAUACUUAGAUCCAAGAAUACCCUGUGGGGAGACUUCAUUAAAGCCAAAUACUGCCAGAGGGCCAAUAUCACACCAAGAAAUGGGACACAGGUCAAUCCUUGACCUGGAAGCACCUGAUGAUCAAUAAACAUAACAUUGAGCCCCAUAUUCAGUGGCAAAUUCACUCAGGUUCCUGCCUCUUUUGGUUGGAUAACUGGCUUGGAGUUGGCCCCUUAGCACACUUCAGAACUGAGAGUUGCAGAUUCAACAACACUCAAGUUUCAGAUUUUAUUACGAUGCGGUGCCAUGGUGUAUGCUUUUCGCGGACGACAUAGUCCUGAUCGAUGAGACUCGCCGCGGAGUUAACGCUAAGCUGGAGGAUUGGAGACAUACCUUGGAGUCUAAAGGGUUUAAGUUGAGUAAGACAAAGACAGAGUACUUAGAGUGCAAGUUCAGUGAGACACCUCAGGAGGUUGGCGUUGAAGUUAGGCUUGGUGCUCAGGCCAUCCAAAAGAGAAGUAGUUGCAAGUAUCUUGGGUCUAUCAUGCAAGGCAGCGGGAGAUUGACGAUGAUGUCACACAUCGUAUUGGGGUAGGGUGGAUGAAAGGGAGGCUCGCUUCCGGAGUGCUAUGUGACAAGAAUGUGCCACCAAAACUUAAGGGCAAGUUCUACAAAGUGGUAGUUAGACCGGCUAUGCUGUAUGGGGCCGAAUGUUGGCCAGUUAAGGUCUCCCACGUUCAAAAGAUGAAAGUUGCUGAGAUGAGAAUGCUGAGAUGGAUGUGUGGGCACACCAGGAGCGACAGGAUUAGAAAUGAGGCUAUUCGGGACAAGGUAGGAGUGGCCUCGGUGGAAGACAAGAUGCGGGAAAUGCGACUGAGAUGGUAUGGACAUGUGAAGAGGAGAGACACAGAUGCCCCAGUGCGAAGGUGUGAGAGGCUGGCCAUGGAUGGUUACAGAAGAGGUAGGGGUAGGCCGAAGAAGUAUUGGGGAGAGGUGAUUAGACAGGACAUGGCGCAGUUACAGCUUACGGAGGACAUGACCUUAGAUAGGAGGGGGUGGAGGACCCACAUUAGGGUAGAAUGCUAGUUCAUAGUCUCGUUAUUCUUCUCUAUUCAUAGGCGUAGUAGUGCAUUACGAUCUCUUGCGCUUUGACUUCUGAUUUCUGUUAUUUCUGUUAUUAUUUAUUACUUUCUAUGCUUUGAUUACUCUAUUUUACCUGUGACGCUAUCAUUAUUUAUUUAAUCGUUAUUUGUUA
Molecule: long non-coding RNA, 6138 nt
Organism: Solanum dulcamara
Lineage: Eukaryota; Viridiplantae; Streptophyta; Magnoliopsida; Solanales; Solanaceae
Exons: 2
Source: RefSeq, a predicted model, not a curated record